RNAcentral lists this ribosomal RNA (497 nucleotides) under uncultured bacterium. Its description in RNAcentral is "partial 16S ribosomal RNA". It matches the Rfam family "Bacterial small subunit ribosomal RNA", at positions 28 to 507 of the family's 1533-position model. The record is from RNAcentral.
GAUGAACGCUGGCGGCGUGCCUAAUACAUGCAAGUCGAGCGGACAGACGCGGAGCUUGCUCCUCUCACGUUAGCGGCGGACGUGUGAGUAACGCGUGUAUAACCUACUUAUAAGACUGGGAUAACUUCGGGAAACCGGAGCUAAUACCGUAUAAUAUAUUGAACCGCAGGGUUCAAUGGUGAAAGACGGCUUUUCUGUCACUUAUAGCGGGAUCUGGGCCGCAUUAGCUAGUUGUUGAGGUCACGGCUUACCAAGGCAAGGAUGCGUAGCCGACCUGAGAGGGUGAUCGGCCACACUGGAAGGUGGACACGGUCCAGAGUCCUACGGGAGGCAGCAGUAGGGAAUCUGCCGCAAUGGGCGAGAGCCUGACGCAGCAAGGGCGCGUGAGUGACGAAGGUCUUCGGAGCGUAAAACUCUGUUAUUAGGUAAGAACAAAUGUGGAAGUAACUAUGGACGGCGUGACGGUACCGAAUCAGAAAGCCACGGCUAACUACGUG